Molecule: ribosomal RNA, 274 nt
Filed under: uncultured bacterium
Lineage: Bacteria
Description: partial 16S ribosomal RNA
Rfam family: Bacterial small subunit ribosomal RNA
Source: RNAcentral
AUACGGAGGGGACUGGCGUUGUUCGGAAUUACUGGGCGUAAAGCGUACGUAGGCGGAUCAGAAAGUAUGGGGUGAAAUCCCAGGGCUCAACCCUGGAACUGCCUCAUAAACUCCUGGUCUUGAGUUCGAGAGAGGUGAGUGGAGUUCCGAGUGUAGAGGUGAAAUUCGUAGAUAUUCGGAGGAACACCAGUGGCGAAGGCGGCUCACUGGCACGAUACUGACGCUGAGGUACGAAAGUGUGGGGAGCAAACAGGAUUAGAAACCCUAGUAGUCC